GACAUCCAGAGAAUUUAGCAGNGAUGCUUUAGUGCCUUCGGGAACUCUGAGACAGGUGCUGCAUGGCUGUCGUCAGCUCGUGUUGUGAAAUGUUGGUUAAGCCGCAACGAGCGCAACCCUUAUCCUUUGUUGCCAGCACGUAAUGGUGGGAACUCAAAGGAGACUGCCGGUGAUAAACCGGAGGAAGGUGGGGAUGACGUCAAGUCAUCAUGGCCCUUACGAGUAGGGCUACACACGUGCUACAAUGGCGUAUACAAAGAGAAGCGACCUCGCGAGAGCAAGCGGACCUCAUAAAGUGCGUCGUAGUCCGGAUUGGAGUCUGCAACUCGACUCCAUGAAGUCGGAAUCGCUAGUAAUCGUAAAUCAGAAUGUUACGGUGAAUACGUUCCCGGGCCUUGUACACACCGCCCGUCACACCAUGGGAGUGGGUUGCAAAAGAAGUAGAUAGCUUAACCUUCGGGAGGGCGUUUACCACUUUGUGAUUCAUGACUGGGGUGAAGUCGUAACAAGGUAAGCGUAGUGCU
RNAcentral lists this ribosomal RNA (524 nucleotides) under uncultured bacterium. RNAcentral's name for it is "bacterial SSU rRNA". It matches the Rfam family "Bacterial small subunit ribosomal RNA", at positions 983 to 1509 of the family's 1533-position model. The record is from RNAcentral.